This 306-nucleotide long non-coding RNA is filed under the name Rattus norvegicus (Norway rat). RNAcentral describes it as "long non-coding RNA NONRATT033421". Lineage: Eukaryota; Metazoa; Chordata; Mammalia; Rodentia; Muridae. The record is from RNAcentral.
AUACCACAUACCCCAGGACACAAGCGGAAGCCUAGAACAUGUUUUGAAGAGUCAUCAUCUUCUGGCCAUGGCAUUUCACAUCCACACUUGGGAGGCCGGCUCAUGUCCAUCCUGGAUAGUGAACCGGCACCCGGACCCCAGACUCUCCUCACCUUGGCCCAUUGCCUGGGUAGAAAUAAGACACCAGAGAGCUCCCUGCCGUGCUCCAGGCCUUCUAAGUAGAACAAAGCUGCGCAUACCCAAGCCAUCUGUGGCAGGUAAUGAUGGAUUGAGAGGGUGUGGGAUGAGGGUCUGUCCUAAAUAGGA